AGAGUUGGUCUAGAGGUUGCGGAAUCAUUUUAUCAAUGAUUGCGAGGAAAGUCCGAACUCCCGAAAGACCACACUUGCUGGAUAACGUCCAGUGCGCGUGAGCGUGAGGAUAGUGCCACAGAAAAAUACCGCCCCCUUUUUUCAGUAAUCAGUAAACAGUAAUCAGUAACGAAAGUAAAUUCGCUGAUAACUGAUAACUGAUUGGGGGUAAGGGUGCAAAGGUGCGGUAAGAGCGCACCAGCAGUAUCGAGAGGUACUGGCUCGGUAAACCCCGGUGGGGAGCAAGGUGGAGGGACAAAGGUUGGUCUUUUUCCUGUCCCGUUUUUAGGAACCGCUUGAGGUAAUUGGUGACAAUUAUCCCAGAUAGAUAACCUCUAUUCCAACAAAGGUAAAAGCGAUUUUACUGCUGUUGGGAAAUACAGAAUUCGGCUUAUGUCUGACUCUCUCC
This 448-nucleotide RNase P RNA is filed under the name Microcystis sp. LE18-22.4A. RNAcentral describes it as "RNase P RNA component class A". It matches the Rfam family "Bacterial RNase P class A". From Rfam's summary of the family: Ribonuclease P (RNase P) is a ubiquitous endoribonuclease, found in archaea, bacteria and eukarya as well as chloroplasts and mitochondria. Its best characterised activity is the generation of mature 5'-ends of tRNAs by cleaving the 5'-leader elements of precursor-tRNAs. The record is from RNAcentral. Lineage: Bacteria; Bacillati; Cyanobacteriota; Cyanophyceae; Chroococcales; Microcystaceae.